CAGGUGAAUCGAGAAGAAUAAAGUCAGUGUGGACCCACUGAUAUCUGCUCCUUCCCAAAUCCUACUGUUACGGGGAUCACAAAGCCUGGGUGUGUGGUCAGCACGGCACCUGUCUCCUGGGUCUUCAGGGCAGCACGAAUCAUUUUCCUGAAGACACAGAAGUUAAAAAAAGGAGCCGACACUACCUAGAAAUACCAGUUUCCAGCCCUUCACCACGCAGCAGCCUGGGGUCCUGCUCACCAAAUGCAGCGCUGUCCUUUGGGGUCCAUGCCAGUCGAUGGCUCAUCCAACAACAGGACUGAAGGGUUGCCCAGCAUGCACACAGCGAAGCACAGCUAUGGCAGGGAGAGAGGUUGGGGUCAAACCUACAGCCCCAGCAGUGUGUCUUCAAGGAGCUGCAGGCAGCACUGCAUUCUUUAUGAACACAUCAAACUUCUGAUUGAUACGAGACAGGGACUUGGAAGGUGCAAUGUGAUGCUUUCCCAGGUGGUUGGGAGCACAGGGAGGUCCCACUGUUCCCAGAGGACAUUUUUCAUUUGUGCUAUGAACAUUACAGUGCUCAUUAUAGGAAAAAGAAGGAAAAAAA
Phasianus colchicus (ring-necked pheasant) is the source of this 586-nucleotide non-coding RNA. Lineage: Eukaryota; Metazoa; Chordata; Aves; Galliformes; Phasianidae. The record is from RefSeq and is a predicted model, not a curated record.